Molecule: ribosomal RNA, 253 nt
Filed under: uncultured bacterium
Lineage: Bacteria
Description: partial 16S ribosomal RNA
Rfam family: Bacterial small subunit ribosomal RNA
Source: RNAcentral
UACAGAGGUCUCAAGCGUUGUUCGGAUUCAUUGGGCGUAAAGGGUGCGUAGGCGGCGCGGUAAGUCGGGUGUGAAAACUCGAGGCUUAACCUCGAGACGUCGAUGGAAACCGUAUGGCUAGAGUCCGGAAGAGGAGAGUGGAAUUCCUGGUGUAGCGGUGAAAUGCGCAGAUAUCAGGAAGAACACCCGUGGCGAAGGCGGCUCUCUGGGACGGUACUGACGCUGAGACGCGAAAGCGUGGGGAGCGAACAGG